AGGCCGGGCGUGGUGGCUCGCGCCUGUAAUCCCAGCACUUUGGGAGGCCGAGGCGGGAGGAUCACGAGGUCAGGAGAUCGAGACCUUCCUGGCUAACACCGUGAAACCCCGUCUCUACUAAAAAUACAAAAAGAAAUUAGCCGGGCGUGGUGGCAGGUGCCUGUAAUCCCAGCUACUCGGGAGGCUGAGGCAGGAGAAUGGCGUGAACCCGGGAGGCGAAGCUUGCAGUGAGCAGAGAUCGUGCCACUGCACUCCAGCCUGGGUGAUAGAGCAAGACUCUGUCUCAAAAAAAAAAAAAAAAAGAAAAGAAAUUUCAACCAGGAAUACUUAACAAAGAAAAAGAGGCCUUUGGACCCCAUUAAAAUCAUGGAUGACUGGCCGGGCACAGUGCUUCACACUUGUAAUCCCAGCACUGUGGGAGGCCGAGGAAGGUGGAUCGCCUAAGGUCAGGAGUUCGAGACCAGCCUGGCCAACAUGGUGAAACCCCGUCGCUACUAAAAAUACAAAAAAUAGCUGGGCACAGUGGCUGGCGCCUGUAAUCCAGUUACUUGGGAGGCUGAGGCAGGAGAAUCACUUGAACCUGAGAGGCCAAGGUUGCAGUGAGCCAAGAUCGCUACACUCAAGCCUGGGUGACAGAGCAAGACUCUGUCUCCAAAAAAAAAGAGAAAGAAACACAUUCCUGUGGGCCUCAUAGGUACAGGAUGUUCCACACUGUUCUAACAGAAACAUCUCAGUUUCUUGGGACCCUUGAGUAUAAAGCUCUGGGGUCAACAUCAAAUGGGAACAAACUUGCAGCCUAACUCUGGACAUUUGGGGAGUCAAAUAGCCAUUUGGAGGGUCGAGGAAAAAAGUUGAAAUGUGAAAGAAGAGCCAAAAGAGAAUAGAGUAAGAUUAAGUAUAUAGAAAGUUCUCAGUAAAUGCUUAUUUAAUUGGAAUAAAUCAGGAUAAAAGAGUAGAGUCUGAUUUGGAAGUAACCUUUUAUUUUAUUUUAUUAUUAUUAUUAUUAUUAUUAUUAUUUUUGAGACCGAGUCCUGCUCUGUCACCCAGAGCAGGGUGCAAUCUCAGCUCACUACAACCUCUACCUACUGGGUUCAAGCAAUCCUCCUGCUUCAGCCUCCCGAAUAGCUGGGAUUACAGGCAUGCACCACCACACCCGGCUAAUUUUUAUAUUAUUAAUAGAGACGGGGUUUCACCAUGUUGCCCAGGCUGGUCUCGAACUCUUGAGCUCAAGUGAUCUGCCCACCUUGGCCUCUCAAAGUGCUGGGAUUACAGGCACGCGCCACCAGGCCCAGCCUGGAAGUAACCAUUUAUUUGAGGAGAAAGAAGAGAAUGAGAUGGAAUGACAUCCUGCCACUAUUUCUAAGAGGCUGAAGGAAGCUGAAGGACAAGGGGAUAGUGAGACCAUCUCUCCCAGUUUCCAGAACAGAGGAUAAUGGAAAGACGAUGGUACUGGCUGAACAUGACCACCCAAAGCAUCUGCUGCUUCCACUUAAGAGUCUCAGACCAAUGACUUUAGAAAACGCCCAGCCCCGUCUCUUAC
This 1540-nucleotide long non-coding RNA is filed under the name Homo sapiens (human). Its description in RNAcentral is "HSALNT0390302". The record is from RNAcentral. Lineage: Eukaryota; Metazoa; Chordata; Mammalia; Primates; Hominidae.